AACGUAGGACACGAGCGUUAUCCGGAGUUACUGGGCGUAAAGCGCGCGUAGGCGGACCUGCAAGUCGGGGGUGAAAGCCCGAGGCUCAACCUCGGAACUGCCUUCGAUACUGCGGGUCUCGAGUCCGGGAGAGGUGAGUGGAAUUCCUAGUGUAGAGGUGAAAUUCGUAGAUAUUAGGAAGAACACCAGUGGCGAAGGCGGCUCACUGGCCCGGUACUGACGCUGAGGCGCGAAAGCGUGGGGAGCAAACAGG
Molecule: ribosomal RNA, 253 nt
Filed under: uncultured bacterium
Lineage: Bacteria
Description: partial 16S ribosomal RNA
Rfam family: Bacterial small subunit ribosomal RNA
Source: RNAcentral